GCCCCGUAUAAUGCGCCCUCACGACGCGGCGUUACUGCCGCACCGGACUCCGGUCCGGAUUGUUCUUUACCAACCGAGUGGAGAUGUGUGGGGUUUAGGCCCAGGGGUAUUAUUGGUGUUUAUGCACUGGUGAUUACCCUGAGCAGUAUUGUUUUAAAAUGGAUUGAACGAGAGAGUUUGAUCCUGGCUCAGAUUGAACGCUGGCGGCAUGCCUAACACAUGCAAGUCGAACGGUAGCAGGCCUUCGGGUGCUGACGAGUGGCGGACGGGUGAGUAAUGCGUAGGAAUCUGUCUUUUAGUGGGGGACAACCCAGGGAAACUUGGGCUAAUACCGCAUGAGCCCUGAGGGGGAAAGCGGGGGAUCUUCGGACCUCGCGCUAAGAGAAGAGCCUACGUCUGAUUAGCUAGUUGGUAGGGUAAAGGCCUACCAAGGCGACGAUC
This 441-nucleotide ribosomal RNA is filed under the name uncultured bacterium. RNAcentral describes it as "partial 16S ribosomal RNA". The stretch from base 166 to 441 matches the Rfam family "Bacterial small subunit ribosomal RNA", at positions 1 to 281 of the family's 1533-position model. The record is from RNAcentral.